Molecule: ribosomal RNA, 505 nt
Filed under: uncultured bacterium
Lineage: Bacteria
Description: bacterial SSU rRNA
Rfam family: Bacterial small subunit ribosomal RNA
Source: RNAcentral
CUACGUGCCAGCAGCCGCGGUAAUACGGGAGGUCCAGGCGUUAUCCGGAUUUAUUGGGUUUAAAGGGAGUGUAGGCGGUCUGUUAAGCGUGUUGUGAAAUUUAGGUGCUCAACAUUUAACUUGCAGCGCGAACUGGCGGACUUGAGUGCACGCAACGUAUGCGGAAUUCAUGGUGUAGCGGUGAAAUGCUUAGAUAUCAUGACGAACUCCGAUUGCGAAGGCAGCUGACGGGAGCGCAACUGACGCUGAAGCUCGAAGGUGCGGGUAUCGAACAGGAUUAGAUACCCUGGUAGUCCGCACAGUAAACGAUGGAUGCCCGCUGUUGGUACCUAGUAUCAGCGGCUAAGCGAAAGCAUUAAGCAUCCCACCUGGGGAGUACGCCGGCAACGGUGAAACUCAAAGGAAUUGACGGGGGCCCGCACAAGCGGAGGAACAUGUGGUUUAAUUCGAUGAUACGCGAGGAACCUUACCCGGGCUUGAAUUGCAGAGGAAGGAUUUAGAGAUA